Long non-coding RNA from Felis catus (domestic cat), 572 nucleotides. RefSeq lists it as uncharacterized. The record is from RefSeq and is a predicted model, not a curated record. Lineage: Eukaryota; Metazoa; Chordata; Mammalia; Carnivora; Felidae. The transcript has 2 exons.
GUCGAUAGAUAGCUUUGAAGAUUUGGGGGGAGGGGGGGAAUCUAUGUACAAAUACAGCUUGAAACACAGAAAGAAGUGAGUUUUAAAGGAAAAUAUUCACUCUCACUACCCCUGUCCAGGAAGAAAAGUGCUGAUCUGCAGCUUCCAGUCCGCUAAACUGGAGAGUAGAGGCUGCCUGAUCCAAGCCCAGCCAGUGUUGGUCUCCCCAAGCAUUCCUACCUUGCAAAGGCAACUUCCAGAUAAGCUGAUCAAGAUUCUGGAACUACAAGUCGAACUAGUCCCUGGAGCAGAAGUAAAAUUCCAAACCUACGGUCCCAUCCAGCCUGUCCACAAAAUUACUAUAUUGAUGAUAGCAGCAGAUACUCAUGAGAGGUAUGACUUGUGUUUCCUCCAUACCUAAAUAAAAAAGAGAAAGGACCAUUCUGGUUUCUCUGGAGAUUAAAUAGCAAAAGGAGGGCUUGAUUUGAUUAAUAAAUCUAGAUAUCCUAUGGAUUUUGUAAUGAUAUGCUUUGACAUUUAUAUCUAAGUAGUUCAUUUUUGCGAAAAAUCAAUAAAAUGGUUUUUCAAGCAGA